Molecule: transfer RNA, 85 nt
Filed under: Senegalia massiliensis
Lineage: Bacteria; Bacillati; Bacillota; Clostridia; Eubacteriales; Clostridiaceae
Also listed under: 1 other name
Description: tRNA-Leu
Rfam family: tRNA
About the family: Transfer RNA (tRNA) molecules are approximately 80 nucleotides in length.
Source: RNAcentral
GCGGGAGUGGCGGAAUUUGGCAGACGCGCUAGACUUAGGAUCUAGUGUCAUUGACGUGGGGGUUCGAGUCCCUUCUCCCGCACCA